RNAcentral lists this ribosomal RNA (1204 nucleotides) under Waminoa sp. AK-2010. Its description in RNAcentral is "SSU rRNA". It matches the Rfam family "Eukaryotic small subunit ribosomal RNA", at positions 397 to 1544 of the family's 1831-position model. The record is from RNAcentral. Lineage: Eukaryota; Metazoa; Xenacoelomorpha; Acoela; Haploposthiidae.
UGCAGGACCUGGACCCACAUCCAGGCAGGCAGAGGCGGAAAAUUACCCACUUCCGGCGCGGAGAGGUAGUGACUAGUCAUAACAAAUAUAGACCCUAGUGGUUUGUAUUUGGACUGGUGAGAUGUUAUAAAUAUCUCAGGAAUCUAGAUCAGGGCAAGUCUGGUGCCAGCAGCCGCGGUAAUACCAGCCUGAUCAAGCGUAUGCUUUAGUUGCUGCGUUUAAAAAGCUCAUAGUUGGAUCUUCGAGAGCGUGAUCAUCAAAGGGCGUAGUUCGGUUACGGUCGUUCUAUUCCUGGUCACGGACUUUCAAUAUACUUGGAAGACAGUUUAUUCUUAACUGAAUAGACUGAUCGAAAACAAGUGAUAAACCUUGAAAAAAUUAGAGUGCUCAAAGCAAGCUUUGGCCUUGAACUUUAAAGCAUGGAAUUGAGGAAGAGGACCAUUAUGGUCGUGAACCAUUUUGGUAAUGAUUAAAAGGAACAGUCGGGGGCAUACGUAUUGCUCGGGGAGGGGUGAAAUCCGUAGAUCCCAGCAAGACGACCUACUGCGAAAGCAUUUGCCAAGAAUGUUUUCAUUAAUCAAGAACGAAAGUUAGAGUAUUAAAGAGGAUUAGAUACCCUCGUAAUUCUAACCUUAAACGAUACCAUCUUAAUCUUAGCCAAUGUAAUUUAUUACUUGGUUAGGAUUAAACCGGGAAACCAAAGCCAUUUGGUUCCGGGGGGAGUAUGGUUGCAAAAUCGAAACUUAAAGGAAUUGACGGAGGGGCACCACCAGGAGUGGAGCCUGCGGCUUAAUUUGACUCAACACGGGGAAACCUACCAGGUCCAGACAUCUUAAGGAUUGACAGAUAGAAUCUCUUUCAUGAUUAGAUGGGCGGUGGUGCAUGGCCCGUUCUUAGUUAGUGAGUGAUUCGUCUGGUUAAAUUCCGAUAACUAACGAGUUCUCUUCCAUCUAACUAGUAGAUGACACUUAUUUGUGUUGUCAAGACUUCUUAGACACUAAGUACAUUAAAUAGUACUAGGUGAGUGGAGAUUAUAACAGGUCUUGUGAUGCCCUUAGAUGUCCUGACCGCACGCGCCGCUACAUGGCGUGGCUUUAUGUGUGAUAACUUCUUCUAGCGGAUGCUUGGCAAUCGUAGGUUAAAGAUGUUCCCUUAGUGGAUCAAACCAUUAUUGGUUAACAUCUAUAUAAGGUUAAAGAGUUUG